CUGGGUAGCUGAUGGUGAUGGGAGUAACAUAUCCAAAUUUCAUGAGAAUCCGUUCGGUAAUUUUGGAGUUAUACCGUGUGGAAGUUUGAAUGGCUCGCCACGAGGUUGUAGCCGACUCAGAGUUCCAUGAAAUCAGUGGUGCGAGCUGGUCUCUGUUUGGGACAAUUUACACGAAAUCUACCAUACAUGUAAUGUAACUGGUUACCUGAGAGUGCUCCCCUCGUUCGGUAGAUUGAAACUCCCGAACGCCAUUCGGAUACAGUUCGUAAAAAUGGGUCAGACGGGACUUCCAUGGGGGACCGGGGAUUGCUGGAAAGCCAUGCCGAAAAUAGUUCCAGACGCUCGACGCCUAAG
Molecule: non-coding RNA, 354 nt
Organism: Pelobates cultripes (western spadefoot toad)
Lineage: Eukaryota; Metazoa; Chordata; Amphibia; Anura; Pelobatidae
Source: the annotation of a GenBank genome assembly